CUCAGUGUGCUGAGGGACGGCUGCCAUUGGCUGAGAGUAGGCGGGAGGCAGGGUCAUUUCUGUACAGUCUGUUGAUCAGUAUUUCUUAUAUCUCUCCUGUCAUUUGGUGGAUCUUGCUGUUUUAUUCUCCCUGGUCCAGAGACCUGUAUUAAACUGUAUUAAACUGUAUAGAUUGUGCAAAAAGCUGAAUGUUGCAUAGCAGAAGAGAAAAGCUAUUCCUCACAGAUGACAAAGUGAUUUAAAAUGUAUAAAAGAAAUUCAGAAACAAAGUUUAGGGGAUAAAUGUAAUAUUUUGUUUGUAAUUACUAUUUUUUGUUGGAAGAGGGCUACUGGAUAAAGAAUCAUCUGUAAUAAAGUAAUUUUAAUAUUU
This is a long non-coding RNA of Hippoglossus stenolepis (Pacific halibut), 370 nucleotides long. RefSeq lists it as uncharacterized. The record is from RefSeq and is a predicted model, not a curated record. Lineage: Eukaryota; Metazoa; Chordata; Actinopteri; Pleuronectiformes; Pleuronectidae. The transcript has 2 exons.